UACAAAACGGCGUCUCGAACAAAAACAUACAGGUAGCGUAGCGUAUCAGACCUCUUCGUUAUACUUGUCAGAGGACGAAGGCAAGAAGAUCGUUGAAUAAGGUUAAAAAAUGGAAGAAGAGCUGACCUGCGCUAUCUGUUUGGAGAUAUUUCAGGAUCCUCACAUCCUGAGAUGUGGGCACACCUUCUGCCUCCCCUGCAUUGACCAGAUGUUGGAAAAUUACAGUGCUGACUGUCCUUUGUGCAGGGAGACCAUUCAUUCUCAACAUGGUCUGAUUAAGAAUUUCCCCCUCUGCAACAUUGUGGAUCGGUUGAGGACAGAAAGGUCGCUGGAUGCUCCUGAGCCCAUGGACUAUGAGGAACAAGGGGAUGUGUGAAACACUCACUCACAAGGUUUUUCUCACUCAUGCUCUGUUCAGAGAUUUAUCUGAAAUACUACUAAACCCACUGUGGGUAUAACUGCCAUCUCAUAUCUUGGGUAUGAGAGUUGCUCUGUGGUAAGUAUAAGCCGUGGGAAUGAGAGUUCCCCCAUGAACCUCCUAACACUUGAGUUGAACCUCAAAACAAAUGAGUUGAAUCUCAAAACAAAUGAGAACCUCUGUGAGAAUGGGUGUGUUGGGAGUGAAUGCUUGUGAGAUCAGAGAAGACGCCAGCACAAAUCAAUAUCAAGCCAACAUAACACAUCAUUUAGAAAUACUAAAAGAAACGUUUCCACUAGAAGACUUUCUCAGUGUCUUCAAUUCAACGACAAAUGUUUCCACUAGAAGUCUUUUGUCUUCAGCAUGGUUUAUUUUAGUAUUUCUAACUGUUUCUGCCAGCGUGUGUUUUAUAGCUAUGGAAAAAUAUAUACACAAUAAAUUAAUCUUGAAAUAUUAAUUUUGUUCUUGGCUCAUUUAUUGCUGUUACUUCAGUUUUUGUUCUAUAGACUGGCGUUCAAAAGUGUAAACAUUUUAUUUAGAUACAUUCUUCAAUAACAGUGUCCAUCCGCUGUUACAAAAUAAACGACAUCUAUAAAAGCAAAGGAGUAAGUACAGUAGUUAUAGGUACGGCAGGUCGUUGAGGACAUCAAAAACAAAAUCUGCGUCAUCUCAUGAUCAUGGGAUCAUUUAUCUCAUGAUCAUGAGAAUUUUGGUCAUUACUUCUGUUUCCCUGAGAUAAUGGAAUUGUAAUGUUGAGGUCCUGGGAUAAAUGAUGAUCUCAUGAUCACAAGAUAACAAAUUUUUAUUUUCCGAUGGCCUCAACGACCGCCGUUAAUGGGUCAAGACAAGAAGGAAAUAAUUUGAUGUAGGACUUGCAGUAUUUCCGCACUUUAAAAGAAGACUGGAAAUUAUAAACCGGUUAAAAUUAUAAUACCAAUAUUACAGGAAACCUUUAUCAAAAGUUUUCUGCUUUUGGAAAUAAAAUAGUUUCUUCAAGCUGAACUUGAAACAAAACCAAUUUUAAGAAGGCUAGGUGUUUGAGAAUGUUGGUAACUUUUCCUACCUUGUCAGUAUUAGUAGCAUGAUAGAAAAGACCGCAAGCUUUUCCAGUACUGGGGUGGAGUGGCGUAGUGUUAGUGAUACCAGCACAGGUAAUGAAGGCCUUUUCAAACAGGAGCAGCUACACCGUUGAAAUGCAGGGCUGUUAUGUAUGUAUGUAUAUAUGCAGGUAUUUAUUCAUUAUUUGUGUUUACCGUUGUAUAGAUUGUGUGUCCGUGUUUCCGUUUAAGACAAAAAUAAUGACACUAAAUAGUUUGCACUGUAUUUAGUGGUCAAACUACCUCAUGGGAUGGUUUAUUUGUACAUAUUUAAACGUUUCUGUGUUUGUGUCGUCCGUGUCUGUCGGUGUCGAGUGGUAUUUAUUACACAUGAAGUUAGUUUGCUAAACUUAUUACACGAUGAGGCAGCUGUAGACUCAUAAUGGCGUUUGUAUGCAUGAAUGUAUGUGUAAGUUUGAAGUGUGAAUGUGUGUGUGAAUGUCUUUUUCCAGUGGCAUUGCUAGCUGCUAAAAAUCAUAGAAAUUUGAAUAUAUAUAUAUACACACACACAGUAAUGUGCACAUUUAUUCGAACACCCCACUGCUUCUGUUUUGAUUUGUUGUGCGUAUUUAACCACUGUAACUGAAUUGUCAAAAUAGGCAAAUUAAUGACUGUCUAAUUUAAUUAAAUGACUUUAAUAGUUCACACAUGCAAUUAAUUUAAAAUGGUAAAAGAACAUAAAAACAUAAGAACAUAAGAAAGUUUACAAACGAGAGGAGGCCAUUCGGCCCAUCUUGCUCGUUUGGUUGUUAGUAGCUUAUUGAUCCCAGAAUCUCAUCAAGCAGCUUCUUGAAGGAUCCCAGGGUGUCAGCUUCAACAACAUUACUGGGGAGUUGGUUCCAGACCCAGACACAAAAGUAACACAUAGCCACAAUGGUAAACUGCAUGUCUUUAGAAGUUGUUUCAAAUGCCUAAUUAAAGCACAAAGCGGUACAUGUACUAGGAUGGGCCAGUGCAAACAUACCGCAUUUGCAUUUUCGUUACGACAAUUCGCAAGUGCGCAUUUUGUCGUAUGUACUAAAAAAUAUAUGUUAAUGAAGAGAGCCGCAGUAUACAAAUUUAAAUAUUAUUUGCGUCAUCUUAGCGAGAGUUGUGCGACAUUUUUUCAAAUAAAAUAACAGUAGUAAAAUCAAAUGAAUACCUAGCGCACUUUUUUGUACUUUAGUCUACUGGUAACACAAAAUAAAUCAUGCUGCUGCGUUAUACACAUUGGUGUACAAUGCAAAUAAAAGUAAAUGAUUUUAGGGUUUUCUAUUUUAUUUUAAUUAUUUUUAACUUGGUCUACUUAGUAGCCUAGACAAUUAACACACAAUAGAUCAUGGUCUUACACAGAUGCUCAGAAUGAGCUGGAGGGGUUAGUGGCACAUGUGUGCAGUCUAUUGCUCCCAACACGAUGGGAAAACCAGAAAUGGCAUAGAAAUUUGUUUUCAAGGCUUGUAAGUACACCCUGACUUUAGUGAAAAUUAGGUACUUGGGUGUUCGUCUCAAACAUACAUUGAGCACAACUGGCAACACACGAGAAAAAUGUCCCACACUGGGAAAUGCCAGCAACAAUUGCGACUGUUUAAAACAUGCUUUCAAAAGUUCUUAACAGAUUGAUGCAAUUGUAAGUGUCGCAAUUGCCCACAGCUGUAGUACAUCUCAUUACAAUAUUUUUUAUCCCUCAUUUGAACGAUCUCCACCCUGUUUUUGUGAAUUUCUGCAGGAACGCCCAGGAUUACAUAUUCAUUUAAGGCUAAAGCGCAAAUAAGGACUGCGGCUGCAAAGCAUUCGUUAAAAUGAUGCUAACAGCGUUUGUCUAGUACAUUUCACGCUAGACUUCCAACUGGUUUGCAUGUGGUUUCCAAUGAUUGCUACAGAUGCAACACUUUAGUACAUCUACCCCAAUGUGUCUAACAUUUCACACAAAUGCAUAUUGUUUCUAUAUCACUGAUUACUGACUGAAAAUUGAAAUGACAAAUCUUGAGGUGUUCUAAUGAAUGUGCAUGUUACUGUAACAUUAUAUAUAAGCACAGAAGGCAUAUAGGGUGUGAACCCCUAUUCUGGCAAUGCCACAGUCAGAUGUGAAAG
Molecule: long non-coding RNA, 3585 nt
Organism: Acipenser ruthenus (sterlet)
Lineage: Eukaryota; Metazoa; Chordata; Actinopteri; Acipenseriformes; Acipenseridae
Exons: 4
Source: RefSeq, a predicted model, not a curated record